Gasterosteus aculeatus aculeatus (three-spined stickleback) is the source of this 2335-nucleotide long non-coding RNA. Lineage: Eukaryota; Metazoa; Chordata; Actinopteri; Perciformes; Gasterosteidae. The record is from Ensembl.
AGGUGGGAUUCCAAAGCCACUGUCCUUUCAUAAUGUUUUUCUCAUCAUUCUAGUCAAUCCAAUAGGAUCGGAAGAGGUUGAAUCAAGCAAAUCUCACCACCAGAGCCAGAUUUGUGCAACAAUCCAGACGUUUCUCUGCCAUGAUGCCUGCACAGAAGGCCUUUUGAAGAGUAUUUUAUCUUUACUAUCAACUUAAAACUUUCCAUUAUUACUGCCCACACAGUGGGCAAACACCUAGCAGCCAUGUGUUAUUGCCUAGUAUAUCCAUAUUUUAUAGGGCUGUUAGUGAUUUUCUUCACACUAACAGGGAUUCCCCUUUAUCCUGGCAAAACAAUCGUCCUGAUAGACAAAGUUGUUCCAGAGUAAUUACUUUUUUUUAUCAUGGAUAUGCCAUUUUCGAAGCAGAGGCCAAAAAAAGGGUAAUCACCAAAAUAGGUGUUCCAGUAAUAAAAUAUGCACAAUAUUUAUUACAGUUUAAAAUCUGUAAAUGCAUUAUGAAUCAAAGUUUUGUAAAACAAUUUUCAAACCAGCAUUCCCAGAUGAACAAUGUGAAUUUUAAUUCCAUAAACCCCAGCAGAUUUUGUGAUAUCAUCCUUUGAUGGAUUUUACAUUACAUGUUAUUUAGCUGACGCUUUUAUCCAAAGCGACUUACAUUGCAUUUUUAACCCAUGGCUUUUUACAUUUUUGCCCGGGGGGCAGGGGUUAGGUGUCUUGCUCAGGGACACUUAUACAUGGAGCAUCUGGGGCUCAAACACCAACCUUGCGGUUCCCGGCACACCCUCUCUACUCCAUGCGCCACCAUCGACCCCAUUAAUUUAGUUGUUUAGUGGCAAGAACAAAAUGCUUCAUGCACAGAUUCUGUCAUUGAUUUCUGUCUCUCUUGGACUCUUCACUAUUGAAUGAGAUCUCUCACAACUACACCCUAUCAACAUGCAAUUUGACUCAUGAUAGCUGUGGAAAAAGGCGGUUUUGAUGAAUGGAUACUUGCAGAGCGAGAUUAUUUGAAGGCAAGGCCGCUAACCAGGGUUAAAAAUUUGACUAGUUUGGAGUUAGAAUGUCUUCAUUUAACGUAACCUAACGUAUUUCUUUUAAAUCACUGACAAAUAGAAUGGGGAAGACCGUUCAGUUUGUGGUUUAAUUACCUGUUUCUUGCUUUUCUUAUUCUUUCAAGCAUACAACAGUACGUUUUCAUCUUGGCAUUUCACGUUGGAGCUGGUAAAAUAUUUGAAAGUAUUCAAUCGUCGAGUGACUGUUGCUUGUGAUUUCCAGGCAGGCUAAUUAAUGUUAAUCAGUUAAUUAAAUCCCAGCAGCCAUCUGAAGGGAGCAGAACAGGCAUGUGAUAAAUCUGCAAUCCGAGUUUAAAGUGCAGCACAGCUCUUUGCCUGUACACAUAGGGAUCAACUGUUUUCAUCAUUAGUCAUGUCGCCAUAUAAACAAACAACUUAUAACUGACCAGUUUCAUGUGUUUUAUAACGGUUUGAUGUUGAGACAAAUUGGACUGGUAUUUGGUUUUCUAUUUAUAGCCUCUCUGACGCUGCCAGCUUGGUAGUAUCAGGCUGCAGGGGCUGGCACCAUGGCGCAGAACUUUAUAAAUUGGGAAGGCAUUUAUGGCACUGCAUGACGUUUUCAACGUUAAAAGGACACCCAUUUAUGCACUGCAUCUUGUUGUCUUUACUUAAUGAGCACCCAAAUAGGACACUUUGUCAUGUUUUAUCUAGCACAGGGGCAUCCAAAACGCCACUUCUUAAUGUAUUUUUCAAUUGAAAGGACCACAAGUUCUUACUUCAUACUGUUUUCUCAACUCAGAGGACACUUCAUCUUGUUUUCUCCAAUAGAAAGGCACCAGUGAGGGAACUUCAUGAAUGGCCCUAAGGUACAUAGAACAUGAAGAGGACCAGUCAUCAUGUUCUAUCUACCAUAGGGCCAUCCAAGACGACACUUCAUCAUUCUAUCCCCAUAGAGCCAUUCAAGAGAGCACUUCCUACUUGGUGGAGCAGUGGGAGAUGGAGUCAGGACAUUGUCUAUCAAAUCUGCAGUACAACAUUCAACUCGUAUGCCAGGCGGAGGUCAUUCAUGGAGUAGGUUUUUUUUGCCUUCUCCAAACUGAAGCUGAGAACUGUUGGGAGUUUCUCAGAGUACACAGUAGUCGUUUAGCAUCUCUCACCGCCUUGCUAAACUUGUAUGUUGACUCUGUGUACAAGUCUUUGUCCCCACUCCUAAAUGCCUGAUCCUUCUGCAGACGUAGUUUUCUGAGUUCCGCUGUGAACCAGGGUUUGUCGUUGUUGAAACUCACUCAGAUACAGCGUCUGUGAACUCAUCCAGAUUGUUCGUAGCA